CCCUAGCCCUGAUGGAAGCGGCAUCCUUUUUAUAAGGUGAUUUUUCUUCACCUUAUAAAAAGAUAUAGCGGACAGCAGGAAAUAGC
Molecule: small RNA, 86 nt
Organism: Hucho hucho (huchen)
Lineage: Eukaryota; Metazoa; Chordata; Actinopteri; Salmoniformes; Salmonidae
Source: Ensembl